Long non-coding RNA from Cryptotermes secundus, 1813 nucleotides. RefSeq lists it as uncharacterized. The transcript is spliced from 3 exons. Lineage: Eukaryota; Metazoa; Arthropoda; Insecta; Blattodea; Kalotermitidae. The record is from RefSeq and is a predicted model, not a curated record.
GCCUGAGUUGAACACAUUUUAAUAAAUGGAGCAACGCAAAUUGAGGAAACGGCAACGCAGUUUCUUCAAUUUGCGCUGCCCUAUUCAGUAACAUGUGUUCAACUCAGGCUGAUAACAAUUCUCGGAAAUUUCGGUUACCAGUUUCCUUGGUGUGCCCUCGCCCUUAAUUCAUGAUCAGAUUAAGGGAAAUGAGUUGCGUAUUUUAAAAUUAUGUACACAUACAUACAUACAUACAUACAUAUAUCGGCGUUUCAGAGUAUUCAUAAGUGUGCAACUGGCACUAAAUAUAAAACUUGUCAAACAACAGUCACAAGACUAUCACAGAUAAAAUUGCAGACAGCAGUUCAACCAUAGUUAAAAUCUAAAAUGAAUACCUCAAUUAAAUAGAUACAAUUUUACACAUACAAUUAUACCAACAAGAUAAUUAGCAAUACAUAAUAAUUCUCCUUCCAUUAAGUACGAUACAAAAAUGUGUUAGCUACGAGUUAGCCCCGGCAAGAGCCUUCAGAAUGUUUCUUAUAAAGACCGCAUUACUACUCGUACAGCAGAAGUUACCAGUGCUUAGAGGAGUAUGUGUUCAGUGUUAGCUUCACCUCAGAAAGGAUAAGGUCAUAAUAGUGUCGAACAGCGCAUUAAGACCGUGGUAGUGAGUGUUAUAGUACCGUUGCGACUGAAUACGAACAUACAAGGUCCGUAUAUAAUCCAACAAGUGUACUUUUGUAUGGCUCAUAUGCGAAGGUCAGGUCUGUUUCACAGUGUAAAGAAAAAUCCAUUAAAAUGUUAUGGGAGGUCGGGGGAUAACUCCGAGAAAAACAUGCGUUCAUGAGCUUAAGAAAGUGAAGUCUACUUUAUCACUUGUUGACAAGAAACUUAUUGUCAUUUGUUGUGUACUUAGGUCUACUGAAGAAGUGGGCGGAAUAUGGGAGGGUCAUUUGCCCCAUUUACCCCUCAUUACUUUUAUGUAUGAGGUAGUUGUUUGAAGGACAACCGAGUCAAAUUUAUUGCGUGUAUUAAUUUGUGCCGUCCCAAAGUUAGGAUAUCAAGUAAGAUGGUCUAACGGAAAAUCCCAGGAUUUGCACUAAAAAGUUUCGGGGUUGGAAUCUCGAUCAGGACACAGGCUAUCCUGACAGAGGGUUUUCGUGGUAUUUCUCAGUCCUUCCGAGAAAAUGCCGGAAUACUACGUGUACCUUGCAGUGACUUUCCAAUUCAUCAGUCAUCGUAACAUUUGAUGGUACAUAGUCUAGCUACUGACAGCGUCGAGGGUAAUGACGAUAAUGACUCACAUGAAAGGAAACGUUAGAGUUAUGGGUUCGAAUCCAACCCAGGGAUAAAUGUGUACGUUUUUGUGUGCGUGCGUGUGUUUUUCUUUCUUGUGAUGGGCCACCCUACCCUCCAAGGACAUGUACCAAAUACCGAUAAACAAGAUUCAAAACCCCCGAAGAGGGAAGGUAUUGGGCUGCAUUGGUCUGUUUUGGCACACAAAAAGAAGUUUGAAGGAUAAAAUGCGUACAGAAAAAUCCUAAGGCGUAUAAGAAGAUUUGACGGAUAAGGCUUGGAGAUAUUUUUAUUGUUUACCGGUACUUCUGAAGAACUUUGUGCCAGUCUCAACCUGUUUAAAUAAUAUGGCGACUGUGUACGUGUGUAUGCGUGUAUGCAUGUCCAGUGACGUUUUCUUCACCUUGUAUGAUCUAGGUCAUCAAAAUCCGGGCCCUGCCAAGAACACAACUACAGCCAACAGCAGCAUUGAAGCCAAACACAUCUCCUGGUGAGCAAACUUUCACAAAAGGAAAGCCAGAGUUCUUUGCAAUCUGUG